AGCAGUCGCCGCGGUAAUACAGAGGGUGCGAGCGUUAAUCGGAUUUACUGGGCGUAAAGCGUGCGUAGGCGGCUUUUUAAGUCGGAUGUGAAAUCCCUGAGCUUAACUUAGGAAUUGCAUUCGAUACUGGGAAGCUAGAGUAUGGGAGAGGAUGGUAGAAUUCCAGGUGUAGCGGUGAAAUGCGUAGAGAUCUGGAGGAAUACCGAUGGCGAAGGCAGCCAUCUGGCCUAAUACUGACGCUGAGGUACGAAAGCAUGGGGAGCAAACAGGAUUAGAUACCCCGGUAGUCCCUGUCUCUUAUAA
This 303-nucleotide ribosomal RNA is filed under the name uncultured bacterium. RNAcentral describes it as "partial 16S ribosomal RNA". It matches the Rfam family "Bacterial small subunit ribosomal RNA", at positions 507 to 809 of the family's 1533-position model. The record is from RNAcentral.